UAUUGCAGGGACGCCUC
RNAcentral lists this unclassified non-coding RNA (17 nucleotides) under Mus musculus (house mouse). RNAcentral describes it as "oocyte_clustered_small_RNA1067". The record is from RNAcentral. Lineage: Eukaryota; Metazoa; Chordata; Mammalia; Rodentia; Muridae.